This 164-nucleotide ribosomal RNA is filed under the name uncultured bacterium. RNAcentral's name for it is "partial 16S rRNA". It matches the Rfam family "Bacterial small subunit ribosomal RNA", at positions 355 to 511 of the family's 1533-position model. The record is from RNAcentral.
UAGGGAAUCUUCCACAGUGGACGCAAGUCUGAUGGAGCAACGCCGCGUGAGUGAAGAAGGUUUUCGGAUCGUAAAGCUCUGUUGUUGGUGAAGAAGGAUAGAGGCAGUAACUGGUCUUUAUUUGACGGUAAUCAACCAGAAAGUCACGGCUAACUACGUGCCAG